RNAcentral lists this long non-coding RNA (425 nucleotides) under Rattus norvegicus (Norway rat). Its description in RNAcentral is "long non-coding RNA NONRATT001871". Lineage: Eukaryota; Metazoa; Chordata; Mammalia; Rodentia; Muridae. The record is from RNAcentral.
UCGAGAUCACCAGAAUUCACCGAAGCGGAGCUGAAAGAGCCCCUUUCUUUGCCUUCCUGGGAACCAGAGGUGUUCAGUGAACUUAGCAUUCCUCUAGGAGUGGAGUUCGUGGUUCCCAGGACUGGCUUUUACUGCAAGCUGUGUGGCCUGUUCUACACAAGCGAGGAGGCGGCCAAAGUGAGCCACUGCCGCAGCACUGUACACUACAGGAACUUACAGGUCUCUGAGGGGGGAUUUUCUUCCUGGUUUUCACAGCGAUGAGAUACUGUCAGUUUACAGCUGAAGAAUGCAUACCAGUAAGACGUGACUCAGGUAAGAACACAAAGCAAGUGAGUGACACACAGCAGUGUCUGCCUCAAUCCCAUGCUCUCUCUCCUGAGGUUGGACUCUUAUGAGACCCUGGGCAUGCUUGGCUGGAGCAGAGC